Molecule: ribosomal RNA, 680 nt
Filed under: uncultured bacterium
Lineage: Bacteria
Description: bacterial SSU rRNA
Rfam family: Bacterial small subunit ribosomal RNA
Source: RNAcentral
GAUGAUCCGCCACACUGGGACUGAGACACGGCCCAGACUCNUACGGGAGGCAGCAGUGGGGAAUAUUGGACAAUGGGCGCAAGCCUGAUCCAGCCAUGCCGCGUGUGUGAAGAAGGCCUUAUGGUUGUAAAGCACUUUAAGCGAGGAGGAGGCAACUGCAGUUAAUACCUUCAGAUAGUGGACGUUACUCGCAGAAUCAGCACCGGCUAACUCUGUGCCAGCAGCCGCGGUAACACAGAGGGUGCAAGCGUUAAUCGGAUUUACUGGGCGUAAAGCGCGCGUAGGCGGCAUAAUAAAGUCAAAUGUGAAAUCCCCGAGCUUAACUUGGGACUUGCAUUCGAUACUGGUUAGCUAGAGUGUGGGAGAGGAUGGCAGAAUUCCAGGUGUACCGGUGAAAUGCGUAGAGAUCUGGAGGAAUACCGAUGGCCAAGGCCGCCAUCUGGCCUAACCCUGACGCUGAGGGGCGAAAGCAUGGGGAGCAAACAGGAUUAGAUACCCUGGUAGUCCAUGCCGUAAACGAUGUCUACUAGCCGUUGGGGCCUUUGAGGCUUUAGUGGCGCAGCUAACGCGAUAAGUAGACCGCCUGGGGAGUACGGGCGCAAGACUAAAGCUCAAAUGAAUUGACGGGGGCCCGCACAAGCGGUGGAGCAUGUGGUUUAAUUCGAUGCAACGCGAAAAAC